GUCGAGCGAAUGGAUUAAGAGCUUGCUCUUAUGAAGUUAGCGGCGGACGGGUGAGUAACACGUGGGUAACCUGCCCAUAAGACUGGGAUAACUCCGGGAAACCGGGGCUAAUACCGGAUAACAUUUUGAACCGCAUGGUUCGAAAUUGAAAGGCGGCUUCGGCUGUCACUUAUGGAUGGACCCGCGUCGCAUUAGCUAGUUGGUGAGGUAACGGCUCACCAAGGCAACGAUGCGUACCCGACCUGAGAGGGUGAUCGGCCACACUGGGACUGAGACACGGCCCAGACUCCUACGGGAGGCAGCAGUAGGGAAUCUUCCGCAAUGGACGAAAGUCUGACGGAGCAACGCCGCGUGAGUGAUGAAGGCUUUCGGGUCGUAAAACUCUGUUGUUAGGGAAGAACAAGUGCUAGUUGAAUAAGCUGGCACCUUGACGGUACCUAACCAGAAAGCCACGGCUAACUACGUGCCACCAGCCGCGGUAAUACGUAGGUGGCAAGCGUUAUCCGGAAUUAUUGGGCGUAAAGCGCGCGCAGGUGGUUUCUUAAGUCUGAUGUGAAAGCCCACGGCUCAACCGUGGAGGGUCAUUGGAAACUGGGAGACUUGAGUGCAAAAUAGGAAAGUGGAAUUCCAUGUGUAAGCGGAGAAAUGCAUA
Molecule: ribosomal RNA, 652 nt
Filed under: Bacillus mycoides
Lineage: Bacteria; Bacillati; Bacillota; Bacilli; Caryophanales; Bacillaceae
Description: bacterial SSU rRNA
Rfam family: Bacterial small subunit ribosomal RNA
Source: RNAcentral